AUUGAACGCUGGCGGCAGGCCUAACACAUGCAAGUCGAGCGCACCUUCGGGUGAGCGGCGGACGGGUUAGUAACGCGUGGGAACGUACCCUUCUCUAUGGAAUAGCCAUUGGAAACGAUGAGUAAUACCAUAUACGCCCUUCGGGGGAAAGAUUUAUCGGAGAAGGAUCGGCCCGCGUUAGAUUAGAUAGUUGGUGGGGUAAUGGCCUACCAAGUCUACGAUCUAUAGCUGGUUUUAGAGGAUGAUCCCCCACACUGGUACUGAGACACGGACCAG
RNAcentral lists this ribosomal RNA (276 nucleotides) under uncultured Phaeobacter sp. Its description in RNAcentral is "partial 16S ribosomal RNA". It matches the Rfam family "Bacterial small subunit ribosomal RNA", at positions 30 to 334 of the family's 1533-position model. Lineage: Bacteria; Pseudomonadati; Pseudomonadota; Alphaproteobacteria; Rhodobacterales; Roseobacteraceae. The record is from RNAcentral.